This 816-nucleotide unclassified non-coding RNA is filed under the name Hevea brasiliensis (rubber tree). Lineage: Eukaryota; Viridiplantae; Streptophyta; Magnoliopsida; Malpighiales; Euphorbiaceae. The record is from RNAcentral.
GCCAAACAGGGUCAGGAGCCGGAGCCGUCCGGGAGAGGGAACACUCGAGCGAUCCGUCCGUCCGCCCGCCCGUCGUCGUCGCGCGCCAUGGCUGAGGAGGAGGCCAAGAAGGUGGAGGUGGAGGUCACCGAGGCGCCACCCGCCGCUGCCGCUGCCGCGGAGACGGAGCCGGCUGCCAAGGACGUCGCCGAGGAGAAGGCCGUCAUCCCCGCCCCCGCGCCGCCGGCCGAGGAGGAGAAGCCUCCCGUCGACGACUCCAAGGCGCUGGCCAUCGUCGAGAAGGUUGCAGAUGAACCUCCUGCCGAGAAACCUGCUCAAGGGGGCUCUAAUGACAGAGAUGUUGCUCUUGCAAGGGUGGAAACUGAGAAGAGGAACUCAUUGAUCAAAGCAUGGGAGGAAAAUGAGAAGACAAAAGCUGAGAACAAGGCUUCGAAGAAGCUAUCUGCUAUUCUUUCCUGGGAGAACACAAAGAAAGCAAACAUAGAAGCUCAACUGAAGAAGAUUGAGGAGCAACUGGAAAAGAAGAAGGCUGAAUAUGCAGAGAAGAUGAAGAACAAAGUCGCGAUCGUCCACAAGGAAGCUGAGGAGAAGAGAGCAAUGGUCGAGGCAAAGCGCGGCGAGGAAGUCCUAAAGGCCGAGGAGAUGGCAGCCAAGUACCGUGCCACCGGCCAUGCUCCCAAGAAACUCAUCGGGUGCUUUGGGGCCUAAAGAAAUUUUCGAUUCACAACGAGCAAACGUGAAAGUGUUCAUCAGUGGUUGCUUUGCUUCUUUCACCCUCCCAAGUGCGUAGUGUGUUUGUUGGUGCAAGAAAGGUCG